GUUUUCCCGGGAAGGAGCCCGGCUCAGCUGUGUCGACCCUGGGACGUCUCCUUUCCCUUUCCUUCUAGAAGAAACAGCGUGUCCUAGCCCUCCGUAGGGAAAGGCGCUCGUCACCGUUGGUUCGUGGUGACUUUAAAAUGUGAAGUACGAGGACUGGACAGGCCGAUGCUGACCCGGGCGGACCUGCGCUCGCCCACAGCCUGCGAGGAGACUCAGCCCCAAGCCCACAGCACGGAGCCCGGCCCUUCUACCCCUUCCUGCGAGCCUGAUGAGCCUCCCGUCUGGCUCGGGAUAAGCAUCUACACAGAGCCGGCACACGGCACAGCCACUGUUAUACGCUAUUAGGACACAGCCUAUUUUCAGUCGAGUUGGUCCAGCUGGCCAGAAGCUGAAUGAGAACUUUUCAAUCCAUUUCCCCCCUGAGUCGGGAGGUACACAAGCAGGGCUGGAGAGAGGACGGGAAGAGGACACCUUCCUUCCAUUUUCUGUGAUAAUGUGGAUAAAACACUUUCUGUGCGAAACCGUAGGAUAUUUCAAAUAGUACUGAAGUAAGAGCUCCAAACACACCGUUGAUCGAAGGAAAUUUUGUGUUGAUGUGUUCAAAGGAAGCAUCUUUCUGCUGGCUGAGUCCCUUCGUCGCCCCAGCACAGUUUCCAGAACUCAGGGGGCUUCUGGAGCAGAAUUCUGGAACCCCGGGCUCGGUAGGAUGGUUAUGGGCGCAACGUUGUUGAAGCCACGCCAUCGGGAGUCUAUAGCCAAGCAUAUCUGGUGGCGUGGUCUUCUCCUGUGAGGCUUUGAAGACUUGUGCUUUGUUGAAGAUAAAGCUGGCCUGUGGCUGAUUGCAGAUGCUUUCAGGGAAGUGAAGUAAGUCAGAAUGACUAUGUAUAGGCGUCAGAAGAUUUCAAGGGGCCGCAAUUAGUUUAUUACUUAACGAUUUUCAAAAGCAAAGGAUCUGGUGAGAAUUCAUAACGAGGAGACUGCCACUAAGGAGUUUCGGUUGUUUCUGUGAUACAAAAACGAGAUGAGAAAGCCAAUCCAAAAUAAGUUUUAGACAGGGGCGCCUGGGUGGCUCUGUCGGUUGAGCGUCCUACUUCGGCUCAGGUCAUGAUCUCACGGUCCGUGAGUUCGAGCCCCGCGUCGGGCUCUGUGCUGACCGCUCAGAGCCUGGAGCCUGUUUCAGAUUCUGUGUCUCCCUCUCUCUCUGCUCCUCCCCCGUUCAUGCUCUGUCUCUCUCUGUCUCAAAAAUAAAUAAACAUUAAAAAAAUUAAAAAAAAAAAGCAAAAUAAGUUUUGGACAAAAUAGCUACAGACAUAGUGACCUACCAUAUGUUCAAAGGAGAUAGAAAACACUGCAUGGGAUUUAUAGCAGUGGAUGAACACAAUUUCCGCAGAGAAAAAGUCUCAAAACAGACAUAUAAUAAUCCUGAGAUCUAAUAUGCUGCAAAUAUACAAAUCACAUAGUAAGAAUAAUAUAGCACCAAUAUGAGACAGUUGUGGUAAGUCUGGAGUAAGUUCUACAUACUUAUACAUUAAUUAGACUCCACAGGCAAGUGAUGUAAAUCCCAUUUGAAAUUCAGAAGCCCAGAAGAUGCCAGAUUCAAGUUAAAGAAGUAAAGUUGCGACCAAGUAAACGUUUAAAAAAACAGCUAAAAUUAUGACUGAUUACACUUCACUACUGUCGUCUAAUAUCAGAGAAAACAGCACCAGGACUUUCUAUGUUGAUAGAAACAUGUCAUGGGCAGUAAGAGCACUGAUAAGUCUCCAGGAAUUUCCCAUUCGGUGUACAAUUUCUGAAAUGUUUAUAUUAACACUUUAGCCAUGCAAAUCUGACUUAGGGAAGCCUAGGCCUUUCUCCUCCUCCUCCUCCUCCUCCUCCUCCUCCUCCUCCUCCUUCUCCUCCUUCUUUUCCUCCUCCCCCUCCCCCUCCUUCUGGCAUCCCUUCUGAUUUUCACCCCUUCCUGUGCAACUCAUCAAUAAUAGCAUAUCAAAUAGCCCUGGUUCUCUUCACUAUCUGUCUUUUUGCAAGGGGACAGAACGCAUCGUUAGGAUUUUCCAGGCACCUUCGGGGAAGUCUCAACCACAGGUGUAGGUGGAAACAGUACCUUGAAAGUUUUAUUUGACAUUUAGGAUUCGAUUUGGGGAAGGCAAAGGUUAAAAACGAUCAGAACAUUUGAACACUUAGGAGAGGAAACAAACCAUGAUUGCUGGAGAAAUUACGUGGUUAUUGGUUUCAAAGUUACAAUAAAACAGUUAAAACUAAGCACAGAAGGUAACAUGACUGUAAACGACGUUAUUCCUAUGUAAAAAACCUUUGUUUUCUUCAGGAAGGACGACACAAUCAGUGUAAACUAUAAAGGUUAUUCUGCUAAAAAACAGAAUAUUUACUCUCGGAGAAGGUUACACAGGGGAAACAGAAAGAACCGGUCAUAUUAUGGGUGAGGGCACCGAGCAGUUAACCAAAGGAACAAACACAUCAAAGUGAAGCAAACCUUCCCAGACUUUGGUAUAUUCCGUGGCUCUUCAAACUCAGCUUUCCAGCGUAAAGGGCCCGUGAAAUCCCAGGCUUCUGACCUCCCUCCCAGGGGAACCGACUGGAACGCUGAAGAACGAAACAAGAAACAGGAGGCUCUCGUGAUGUAAUUGAUCCUCAGAGUGAGAAGUGUUCUGCCCGUUCCAGAAUGUACAUGUUAGGUAAACGAACAAACAGAUCCUUAAAAGCCAUAGUUCAGGAUUUGAUUCACAAAUCUGUUUAAAAACCAAGGCCGCUGCUGGUAAACGGUCAGAUAUUCUUAUUUCCAAAUAUUUUUCCUUUCGUUUGAGGCCUUUUUGUUUGUUUAUUUUGAUCUGUCUGUCUUGCUUUCUCGGAUCCGUUCUAAUUGUUAUCUAAGAUUUCCUGUCCUCUAUAAAAAAAAAAAAAUCUUCACUGAAUCUGUUAUCUUGUAAACCUUGAAACGUUGGCAUCCUGUGUUCUGUGUCGUCUUCUGUCAUUCCUCCUGACUUCCUGCCUCCUCCUGUCCUAAAUGUGGCAAGAGAGAGAGGAGAGACGAUUCCAUUUCCUUACCCAUCAACCAGGCCGCGAGUGGGGUCUGCGGAUGAGCUAAUACUGGAGGAGGCCUCCCUGUAAUUGUCGUGACUUUGGAGCAUCGGACAGUGUUACGUGGGCAGACUUUGGCCCUCGGUUUGUGAGUUUGACUUCCUACUUCAGACACGGAGUGUUCGGGGUCACUUCCUGACAUACCUGUGGCAUAUGUGUCCCUCCCCGCCCAAGUUUCUGGUAGGGAAUGCGCAGGAGUGACACUAAUAUGUGAUGUCUGGGUUCCCAAGGUGUUUUCAGCCUCCACUGGAUCGGGUUCACAAGCAGCAAUCCUGCAGAAUUAGAGGUACUCGAGGCUUGUGACUGAGGUGAGAAAGAUAGUGCCCCGCUGCCUCUCUGAGGUCUUCGCUGAGACCCCGGUAACGAGUGAGUAAGAAGGAAAAACCGACCGAAGUUUGUUAACCCGUUUGCCCCGGGUACAGGUGGGGACACCCGGGGAGAACAAGUAACUGUCGCCGUGGCUUAGAAGUCCAGCUUACGCGGCAUCUUCAACAAAGAACAGUGGAUUUGUGGUGAAGUCAUGGAACAAAGGAACGCGUGUCAGGCCAAGGGCGGAGAGACAGGCCAGUCAGUAAAGUUUGUUAUUUGAUUUCCAGGCUGUUGGGGUCUAAGGUUGUCUGGGGGUGAACCUCCGUCUUUCCCCGCAGAGAGGGCACAAGGGCCUCUUGGCAAACUUCUGUCCUAAUUCCUCCCUCUCGCUUUCAGCUCACAAUAAUCCUUGUGCCCAAGUGGCAUAUCUGGGGGUGGCCUAGUCCGCCACCUUCGCUGUCUUGUUUGUUCACAUUCCUUUGGAAGUUGGGAGGGGGGACCUGCUACGAAUAAACGAUGAACUCAGGGUUGCUGCGGUGUGAACGGGACGCUGGGCGCCGGGCUGGGCCGCUUGCGCUAGGUGAAGAGACAGUGACUCUCAGGGGACCCCAGUCAGAACCUUCGAGAUCUCUACAUAAAACGGAAAAGCCCAGUGCGCAGGCCAGGGCUCCGUAGAUUCAGGAAGGCGCCAGUCUGUUUGUGGUUUAUUUCCUCCCCGAGCUCCAGUCUCUCCCCUUGCCCAGAAUGUGCGUCUGAUCCACAAAGGCGGCGGUUCCCGGGCCCGCACAAAACCAAAGUGGCGAGGGUCCAGGUCUGGCCGCUGUUCUCUUACUUGAUCUCAAAAAAUAAAAUCGGAGUCUGACUCAAGCCAGACACCCUGGCUUAUUCCCUGCCUGACACGGACAACCACACUCCCUCAGCUGAAGAUGUCCCAGGUUCAGAGAUCUGGGACCGAACCUCCAAGCCACAGUGUGGCGCAUUGCUUUCUAUCUCUACUGCAAGGCACCUGUCACUCAGUUCUUAACCCAGUCUUACCUGCCAUCUGCAAACCCGUCACCUUCUAUCAACUACAGAAACCUUCCUCAUUUUCCCUUCACCCCAGGCCCUCAUAAUGGGAUGGGAGUGACCUGGCAAGAGACUCUCCUCGCCUGGAAUAACAAUUCAGCACAGGCUUACCCGCCACACAGAUUCUUUAAUGCCUCUCCGACAUAUUUAGUGGCACCUUCCACUAUGGAAAAACAGAAAACUAAACAAAGAAGGCCCCGCUGGGAUUCGAACCCAGGAUCUCCUGUUUACUAGACAGGCGCUUUGACCAGCUAAGCCACAGAGCCCCUUUUUGAGUUUACGUUCAGUUAUAUCAUAUUUAUACCGUUUUCUGUGAGUUGUAGCAACUUGUCAGAAACUCACUUAAUUUUGUGACCAAGAGAUGAUAUCUGUGUUUCCGAGCUUGUGCUUAAACGGAAACCUCCAACAUUUAAAGAAGAUGCAUUCUUCAAUGCAAGAAAGGUUUAAGAUUGUUCAAAUUAAAAAUGGGUUAAAUUCCUAUUUCAUGGCGACUCUCGCCAUCUAGA
This is a long non-coding RNA of Neofelis nebulosa (Clouded leopard), 4973 nucleotides long. RefSeq lists it as uncharacterized. The record is from RefSeq and is a predicted model, not a curated record. Lineage: Eukaryota; Metazoa; Chordata; Mammalia; Carnivora; Felidae. The transcript is spliced from 5 exons.